RNAcentral lists this transfer RNA (86 nucleotides) under Phyllobacterium sp. CL33Tsu. Its description in RNAcentral is "tRNA_Leu_TAA". It matches the Rfam family "tRNA". Rfam says of the family: Transfer RNA (tRNA) molecules are approximately 80 nucleotides in length. Their secondary structure includes four short double-helical elements and three loops (D, anti-codon, and T loops). RNAcentral also lists the same sequence under 1 other name. Lineage: Bacteria; Pseudomonadati; Pseudomonadota; Alphaproteobacteria; Hyphomicrobiales; Phyllobacteriaceae. The record is from RNAcentral.
GCGGACGUGGCGAAACUGGUAGACGCAAGGGACUUAAAAUCCCUCGGCCAUAGGUCAUGCGGGUUCGAUCCCCGCCGUCCGCACCA